ACAAAAUAGAUUUGUUCCCGGAACAAAAUAGAUUUGUUCCCGGAACAAAAUAGAUUUGUUCCCGGAACAAAAUGGAUUUCUGGGAACAAAUCUAUUCGAAAUAGAUACUGCUCAUCAAAUGAUCGCUAUAGCCUUCGUUGUGUGUUUGGAGCACUUCGUGCGCUGACGAAGAUACGAAGCACUAUAAUGAUGUGCUGCAUCAAUGCUGGUAUUUGUGAACGCUUGCUUUGUCACUCAUAAUACCUUCUUUAAGGAAUCCACACAUUACUGCCCGUAUGAAUGAUUCAAAGUCCACUGCCUUUCAUGAAUUGUCCGUCCGUCCAUCCAACAUGUACGUCUGUGGUUAUUUUUUAUAUUCGAAUCGCUGUCUACUCAUUUAUAUCCACUUCCAUGAAUUGUCCGGACAUGUCCGUCCGUCCAACAUAUCAGUCCGUUUAAUGUUCGAUCGAAUUCUUAGGGUGUCCGUCCAUCCGCCAAAAAGGACCAUGGACAGUCUGUGAACAGUCCGUCCGAAAUGAAUUGUCCGUUCACCAAAAAUAUUGGACGGACAGACGGACAUUUCGUCCGUUGGGGGACGUUUGACCGCUAGCCAUUCUUUGGUUUACAGGUUGCAGGGAUUUGGUCGAACUUCUCAUCAAUCAUGGGGCUGAUGUAAAUGCGACAGACGUAAAUAAAUUGACACCGCUCCAUGUAGCUGCAGAAUGCGGCGCAUUGGAUAUUGUGAAGCUUCUGAUCAGUAAACGGGUGGAUGUUAAUGCAGAGAAUAUAAAUAAAUUAACGCCACUCCAUUUCGCGUCCCAAAAUGGCAAUGUGGAUGUUGCUGAAUUUCUCAUCGAAAAGGGGGCUAAUGUUCAUGCAAAAGAUGACAAAGAAUGGACACCGCUCCAUUUCGCAGCAAAAAACGGUCAAACGGAAGUGAUUAAAAUUCUAAUUAGGAAUGGGGCCCAAAUAGAUGCAAUAAAUUCAGAAGGAAAUACGCCACUUGACUCGGCGUGUAAAAAAGGUAAGUGUGAAGCG
Contarinia nasturtii (swede midge) is the source of this 1017-nucleotide RNA transcript. It is a transcript of the gene named serine/threonine-protein phosphatase 6 regulatory ankyrin repeat subunit B-like, with no coding region annotated. The record is from RefSeq and is a predicted model, not a curated record. The transcript has 4 exons. Lineage: Eukaryota; Metazoa; Arthropoda; Insecta; Diptera; Cecidomyiidae.